Pelobates cultripes (western spadefoot toad) is the source of this 280-nucleotide non-coding RNA. The record is from the annotation of a GenBank genome assembly. NCBI's taxonomy places the organism in Eukaryota, Metazoa, Chordata, Amphibia, Anura, Pelobatidae.
AUCAAGUCACAGGUAAAUUGGCAAACGGCUUGAUUACUUACAUCGGGAAUGGGAGGUUUUGGCCACAGGCACGCCUGGCACCACAUCAUUGACAGUGAUGUAAUCGUUAAAGUGCUUGGACCAUUUCAUUUUUCUAAACACCGCAAUAGGGACUGAAACUACCUUACACAAUUUCAAACUUACAAAUCUAGGGAAUGCCUAAGAAAGCUUGAAAAAGUGAUCAGGUUUCAAUCUUUUACAGCCCUAACAAAGUAAACUGAACAUCAAUCAUGAACAUCAU